This 679-nucleotide ribosomal RNA is filed under the name actinomycete CXB719. Its description in RNAcentral is "bacterial SSU rRNA". It matches the Rfam family "Bacterial small subunit ribosomal RNA", at positions 33 to 729 of the family's 1533-position model. Lineage: Bacteria; Bacillati; Actinomycetota; Actinomycetes; Actinomycetales. The record is from RNAcentral.
UCCCAUUGCGGCGUGCUACCAUGCAAGUCGAACGAUGAACCGCUUUCGGGCGGGGAUUAGUGGCGAACGGGUGAGUAACACGUGGGCAAUCUGCCCUGCACUCUGGGACAAGCCCUGGAAACGGGGUCUAAUACCGGAUAUGACUGUCCAUCGCAUGGUGGAUGGUGUAAAGCUCCGGCGGUGCAGGAUGAGCCCGCGGCCUAUCAGCUUGUUGGUGAGGUAGUGGCUCACCAAGGCGACGACGGGUAGCCGGCCUGAGAGGGCGACCGGCCACACUGGGACUGAGACACGGCCCAGACUCCUACGGGAGGCAGCAGUGGGGAAUAUUGCACAAUGGGCGAAAGCCUGAUGCAGCGACGCCGCGUGAGGGAUGACGGCCUUCGGGUUGUAAACCUCUUUCAGCAGGGAAGAAGCGAAAGUGACGGUACCUGCAGAAGAAGCGCCGGCUAACUACGUGCCAGCAGCCGCGGUAAUACGUAGGGCGCAAGCGUUGUCCGGAAUUAUUGGGCGUAAAGAGCUCGUAGGCGGCUUGUCACGUCGGUUGUGAAAGCCCGGGGCUUAACCCCGGGUCUGCAGUCGAUACGGGCAAGCUAGAGUUCGGUAGGGGAGAUCGGAAUUCCUGGUGUAGCGGUGAAAUGGGCCAAUAUCAGGAGGAACACCGGAGGCGAAGGCGGAUCUU